Molecule: transfer RNA, 71 nt
Filed under: Cordylochernes scorpioides
Lineage: Eukaryota; Metazoa; Arthropoda; Arachnida; Pseudoscorpiones; Chernetidae
Description: tRNA-Gly
Rfam family: tRNA
About the family: Transfer RNA (tRNA) molecules are approximately 80 nucleotides in length. Their secondary structure includes four short double-helical elements and three loops (D, anti-codon, and T loops).
Source: RNAcentral
GCAUCGGUGGUUCAGUGGUAGAAUGCACGCCUGCCACGCGGGCGGCCAGGGUUCGAUUCCCGGCCGAUGCA